GACGAACGCUGGCGGCGUGCUUAACACAUGCGAGUCGAACGGAAAGGCCCUGCUUUUGUGGGGUGCUCGAGUGGCGAACGGGUGAGUAACACGUGAGUAACCUGCCCUUGACUUUGGGAUAACUUCAGGAAACUGGGGCUAAUACCGGAUAGGAGCUCCUGCUGCAUGGUGGGGGUUGGAAAGUUUCGGCGGUUGGGGAUGGACUCGCGGCUUAUCAGCUUGUUGGUGGGGUAGUGGCUUACCAAGGCUUUGACGGGUAGCCGGCCUGAGAGGGUGACCGGCCACGUUGGGACUGAGGUACGGCACAGACUCCUACGGGAGGCAGCAGUGGGGAAUAUUGCACAAUGGGCGGAAGCCUGAUGCAGCAACGCCGCGUGCGGGAUGACGGCCUUCGGGUUGUAAACCGCUUUCGCCUGUGACGAAGCGUGAGUGACGGUAAUGUGUAAAGAAGCACCGGCUAACUACGUG
RNAcentral lists this ribosomal RNA (468 nucleotides) under uncultured bacterium. RNAcentral's name for it is "partial 16S ribosomal RNA". It matches the Rfam family "Bacterial small subunit ribosomal RNA", at positions 28 to 507 of the family's 1533-position model. The record is from RNAcentral.